RNAcentral lists this ribosomal RNA (428 nucleotides) under uncultured bacterium. Its description in RNAcentral is "bacterial SSU rRNA". It matches the Rfam family "Bacterial small subunit ribosomal RNA", at positions 541 to 968 of the family's 1533-position model. The record is from RNAcentral.
UUGUCCGGAUUUACUGGGUGUAAAGGGCGUGCAGCCGGGUCUGCAAGUCAGAUGUGAAAUCCAUGGGCUCAACCCAUGGACUGCAUUUGAAACUGUAGAUCUUGAGUGUCGGAGGGGCAAUCGGAAUUCCUAGUGUAGCGGUGAAAUGCGUAGAUAUUAGGAGGAACACCAGUGGCGAAGGCGGAUUGCUGGACGAUAACUGACGGUGAGGCGCGAAAGUGUGGGGAGCAAACAGGAUUAGAUACCCUGGUAGUCCACACUGUAAACGAUGAAUACUAGGUGUGCGGGGACUGACCCCCUGCGUGCCGCAGUAAACACAAUAAGUAUUCCACCUGGGGAGUACGAUCGCAAGGUUGAAACUCAAAGGAAUUGACGGGGGCCCGUACAAGCGGUGGAUUAUGUGGUUUAAUUCGAAGCAACGCGAAGAA